AAUGUACCAAAUCCACCRCCAGGAGUGGAGCRCAGGGCUUAAUUUGACUCAACACGGGGAAACUUACCAGGUCCACACAUAGUUAGGAUUGGAAGAUUGAAAGCUCUUUAYUUGAUUCUAUGGGUGGUGGUGCAUGGCCGUCAGUAGUUGGCGGGAUGAUUUGUCUGGUUAAUUCCUUUAACGAACGAGACCUUAACCGGAGUUCCUAGUUASUCUUAUGUAAAUAGGAGGGAAACUUUGUAGAGGGACUUUGUGUGCAAGCACAAGGAAGUUAGAGGCAAUAACAGGCARGUGAUGCCCUUAGAUGUCCUGGGCAACACGCGCGCUARCAGACAUAUGCAACAAGUUUUACUUCCCCGUCUAGGAAGAGGACGGGUAAUCUUGAAUAAAGUAUGUCGUGCUAGGGAUAGAUCUUUGGAAUUAUAGAUCUCAACGAGGAAUCCUAGUAAGCAA
Molecule: ribosomal RNA, 453 nt
Filed under: Colpoda steini
Lineage: Eukaryota; Ciliophora; Colpodea; Colpodida; Colpodidae
Description: SSU rRNA
Source: RNAcentral